This 254-nucleotide ribosomal RNA is filed under the name Staphylococcus aureus. RNAcentral's name for it is "partial 16S ribosomal RNA". It matches the Rfam family "Bacterial small subunit ribosomal RNA", at positions 556 to 809 of the family's 1533-position model. Lineage: Bacteria; Bacillati; Bacillota; Bacilli; Caryophanales; Staphylococcaceae. The record is from RNAcentral.
GGGCGUAAAGCGCGCGUAGGCGGUUUUUUAAGUCUGAUGUGAAAGCCCACGGCUCAACCGUGGAGGGUCAUUGGAAACUGGAAAACUUGAGUGCAGAAGAGGAAAGUGGAAUUCCAUGUGUAGCGGUGAAAUGCGCAGAGAUAUGGAGGAACACCAGUGGCGAAGGCGACUUUCUGGUCUGUAACUGACGCUGAUGUGCGAAAGCGUGGGGAUCAAACAGGAUUAGAUACCCUGGUAGUCCACGCCGUAAACGA